This 460-nucleotide ribosomal RNA is filed under the name uncultured bacterium. RNAcentral's name for it is "partial 16S ribosomal RNA". It matches the Rfam family "Bacterial small subunit ribosomal RNA", at positions 338 to 795 of the family's 1533-position model. The record is from RNAcentral.
CCUACGGGAGGCAGCAGUGAGGAAUAUUGGUCAAUGGGCGCAAGCCUGAACCAGCCAAGUCGCGUGAGGGAUGACGGUCCUAUGGAUUGUAAACCUCUUUUGUCGGGGAGCAAGGGCCGCAACGUGUGGCGGGAAGGAGAGUACCCGAAGAAAAAGCAACGGCUAACUCCGUGCCAGCAGCCGGGGUAAUAGGGAGGAGGCGAGCGUUAUCCGGAUUUAUUGGGUGUAAAGGGUGCGCAGGCGGAUGUUUAAGUCAGUGGUCAAAUGGCGGUGCUCAACACCGGCCUGCCGUUGAAACUGGUCUUCUUGAGUGUGCGAGAAGUAUGCGGAAUGCGUGGUGUAGCGGUGAAAUGCAUAGAUAUCACGCAGAACUCCGAUUGCGAAGGCAGCAUACCGGCGCUCAACUGACGCUGAGGCACGAAAGCGUGGGGAUCGAACAGGAUUAGAUACCCUAGUAGUC